GACAGAGGAGGCAAGCGUUAUCCGGCCUUAUAGGGCGUAAAGCGUCCGUAGGUGGUUUGACAAGUCUGGGGUUAAAGCCCGGAGCCCAACUCCGGAUCGGCCCUGGAAACUGUCAGACUUGAGUAAGGUAGGGGUUGCGGGAAUUCCCGGUGUAGCGGUGAAAUGCGUAGAUAUCGGGAAGAACACCAGCGGCGAAAGCGCGCAACUGGGCCAUUACUGACACUGAGGGACGAAAGCUAGGGGAGCGAAGGGG
RNAcentral lists this ribosomal RNA (253 nucleotides) under uncultured bacterium. RNAcentral describes it as "partial 16S ribosomal RNA". It matches the Rfam family "Bacterial small subunit ribosomal RNA", at positions 524 to 776 of the family's 1533-position model. The record is from RNAcentral.